This 440-nucleotide ribosomal RNA is filed under the name uncultured Paracoccaceae bacterium. Its description in RNAcentral is "bacterial SSU rRNA". It matches the Rfam family "Bacterial small subunit ribosomal RNA", at positions 338 to 795 of the family's 1533-position model. Lineage: Bacteria; Pseudomonadati; Pseudomonadota; Alphaproteobacteria; Rhodobacterales; Paracoccaceae. The record is from RNAcentral.
CCUACGGGAGGCAGCAGUGGGGAAUCUUAGACAAUGGGCGCAAGCCUGAUCUAGCCAUGCCGCGUGAUCGAUGACGGCCUUAGGGUUGUAAAGAUCUUUCGACGGGGACGAUAAUGACGGUACCCGUAGAAGAAGCUCCGGCUAACUUCGUGCCAGCAGCCGCGGUAAUACGAAGGGAGCUAGCGUUGUUCGGAAUUACUGGGCGUAAAGCGCGCGUAGGCGGACUGGAAAGUUGGGGGUGAAAUCCCGGGGCUCAACCCCGGAACUGCCUCCAAAACUCCUGGUCUGGAGUUCGAGAGAGGUGAGUGGAAUUCCGAGUGUAGAGGUGAAAUUCGUAGAUAUUCGGAGGAACACCAGUGGCGAAGGCGGCUCACUGGCUCGAUACUGACGCUGAGGUGCGAAAGCGUGGGGAGCAAACAGGAUUAGAUACCCCAGUAGUC